AGUGAACGCUGGCGGUAGGCCUAACACAUGCAAGUCGAACGGCAGCACAGUAAGAGCUUGCUCUUACGGGUGGCGAGUGGCGGACGGGUGAGGAAUACAUCGGAAUCUACUUUUUCGUGGGGGAUAACGUAGGUAAACUUACGCUAAUACCGCAUACGACCUACGGUUGAAAGCAGGUGAUCUUCUUACCUUGCGCGUUUGAAUGAGCCGAUGUCGGAUUAGCUAGUUGGCGGGGUAAAGGCCCACCAAGGCGACGAUCCGUAGCUGGUCUGAGAGGAUGAUCAGCCACACUGGAACUGAGACACGGUCCAGACGCCGACGGGAGGCAGCAGUGGGGAAUAUUGGACAAUGGGCGCAAGCAUGAUACAGCCAUACCGCGUGGGUGAAGAAGGCCUUCGGGUUGUAAAGCCCUUUUGUUGGGAAAGAAAAGCAGCAGGUUAAUACCCCGCUGUUCUGACGGUACCAAAAGAAUAAGCACCGGCUAACUUCGUG
This 492-nucleotide ribosomal RNA is filed under the name uncultured bacterium. RNAcentral's name for it is "partial 16S ribosomal RNA". It matches the Rfam family "Bacterial small subunit ribosomal RNA", at positions 29 to 507 of the family's 1533-position model. The record is from RNAcentral.